ACUCGAGUGGCGAACGGGUGAGUAACACGUGGGUGAUCUGCCUUGCACUCUGGGAUAAGCUUGGGAAACUGGGUCUAAUACCGGAUAGGAACCGUCUUUAGUGUGGUGGUUGGAAAGUUUUUCGGUGCAAGAUGAGCCCGCGGCCUAUCAGCUUGUUGGUGGGGUAAUGGCCUACCAAGGCGACGACGGGUAGCCGGCCUGAGAGGGUGUACGGCCACAUUGGGACUGAGACACGGCCCAG
Molecule: ribosomal RNA, 241 nt
Filed under: uncultured Actinomycetales bacterium
Lineage: Bacteria; Bacillati; Actinomycetota; Actinomycetes; Actinomycetales
Description: partial 16S ribosomal RNA
Rfam family: Bacterial small subunit ribosomal RNA
Source: RNAcentral